AGGGUAAUAGCUCAGUGGUAGAGCACAUGCUUAGCAUGCACAAGGUCCUGGGUUCAAUCCCCAGUACCUCCA
RNAcentral lists this transfer RNA (72 nucleotides) under Camelus bactrianus (Bactrian camel). It matches the Rfam family "tRNA". From Rfam's summary of the family: Transfer RNA (tRNA) molecules are approximately 80 nucleotides in length. Their secondary structure includes four short double-helical elements and three loops (D, anti-codon, and T loops). Lineage: Eukaryota; Metazoa; Chordata; Mammalia; Artiodactyla; Camelidae. RNAcentral also lists the same sequence under 2 other names. The record is from Rfam by way of RNAcentral.